UAUGAGCUGAUUGAUGAGGAC
RNAcentral lists this non-coding RNA (21 nucleotides) under Arabidopsis thaliana (thale cress). The record is from RNAcentral. Lineage: Eukaryota; Viridiplantae; Streptophyta; Magnoliopsida; Brassicales; Brassicaceae.